This 809-nucleotide long non-coding RNA is filed under the name Monodelphis domestica (gray short-tailed opossum). Its description in RNAcentral is "lncRNA (ENSMODG00000038302.1)". Lineage: Eukaryota; Metazoa; Chordata; Mammalia; Didelphimorphia; Didelphidae. The record is from RNAcentral.
UCUUGACUACAGGUUCAGCACUUAAUCCACUCUUCCACCUAGUUGCUCUACAGGGAGCUCAGUAAUGUUCCAAGGAAGACAUGAAGAGUCCCGAUUGGUUCCAGCAGGUGGCGCUGUGUUCCUACCUGUCUUUGCGACGCCAGCUUGGCUUUCACGUUAUCUGGCUCCUUUUGGGAAGGCUUAUUGGAUCCUCAGAACUCAGGAGACUGAGACCAAGUCCCUGCCUUGUCCCCUAGAAAGUUUAGCCUAGGAGACAGCUGCUAGGUCCCGCUGGACGAUGGGAUUCGUGGUUUCAAAGACCGAUCUUCAAACGUCGAGCCGGCUCUUCAGUGGGUAGACAUCCCCUCCACUGGUGCAGAUCUCAGCUCCUCCCCAAUUUAGAAGAUGAUCUGAGAUGGUCAAAAACUCCAUCUCUCUCCCGCCUGCCUGGGAUGGUCAGAAUUUAGGGAGGCAAGCUUUGGGACAACAGCAUCAAUUGGUCUUCCAGGCUCAUCUUCAGAGCCUUUCCAGCACUGUAGGACCUUUGGGGGUUUACCUGUUCUAGAAUAUCCUUUGAGAACUGAGGAAAUACUCCUCUCUUUAGGAAAGUGGAAGCCUGACAUUGCUCACACUGUCAGAGAGGGAAAGGAUGGAAUAGUUUCUCUGAGCAUUUUUCUCUCUUUUCUUUUCUUUUCUUUUCUUUUCUUUUCUUUUCUUUUCUUUUCUUUUCUUUUCUUUUCUUUUCUUUUCCUUUCUUUUCCUUUCUUUUCUUUUCUUUUCUUUUCUUUUCUUUCUUUUCUUUUUUUUCUUUUCUUUCUUUUCUUUUCUUU